Molecule: non-coding RNA, 29 nt
Filed under: Mus musculus (house mouse)
Lineage: Eukaryota; Metazoa; Chordata; Mammalia; Rodentia; Muridae
Source: RNAcentral
UGUGAACUUUUAAGGUCAGCUUGGGCUAU